AAAGUUUCCCGGCCCGCGCCGCCGCCGCCACCACCGUCGCGGCCGCCGCCGCCGCCGCCUGGGGCUCCCGCCUCCCGGAGCGCCCGGCCCGACCGAGCUCAGCGCGCGGAGCCCCCCGCCCGGGCCGAGGAGGGGACGGCGCAGGAGGAAGGAAGAGGCAGCGGCGGCCGCGGCGGCAGCAGCAGCAGCAAUGAAGGCGUCCGCGGGACUCCCCGCCCCCCGCGCACCGCGGCACGUGCUCGCCCGGGGACUCCCCCGCCCGGGAGGGCGCACACGUGCGGCCCCGCCGAGCCCCGCCGGCCCGGCCGGGCCCCGGGCCGGGCGAGAGGGGGGUGGUUCCCGCGGAGGGGAGGGGUCGGGUGGGCGGCCUGCGAGCGGCUUGGGGCAGGCUCCGGCCCGGCCGCCGCUUCUCUGCACCUGCAGUGGCUCCCACCCACGCGGUCGGCCCUCCCGGGAGGCGGCCGCCCCCUUCGGGUUGGCCACCCUCGCCCUCCGGCGGGGCUGCAGCCGGGGCCGGCGAGGCGGGGUGGGGCACGCGGACCUUCCAGCCUAGGCCCUCGGCCGAGCCUCGCUCGGUGUCCCCACUUCCUGCCACUCCCUGCGGGCCAGAUCUGUCCGGGACAGCCCCGGCGCCCCCGGGAGGCCUGAGCGCCGGGCCCGACUGACCCCCCUGUCCCAGCUGCCGCUGGCUCAUUCCGAGGCAGGACAAUGGGGGACAUCGCGCGUUUGCGUACCGAGUCAGCCUGGCCGGCAAGAAGGGGUUGCUCGGGGGCAGAGGCUAAGGGCACCCUCGCAGGGGUCACGGCCGAAUGCCCUGUCCAGGUGGACCCCACGGCCCUGCCAUCACCAGCCUCCCCCGCGCCGCGCUCGAUUCUUUCGCGUCGAAAACAAAGACUAAUCCGAUACCCCCGCCCUGCCUCCCAGAGGAGGGGGAACGGGCGCGUCGCGGAGGGUAACUGAGGAGGACAGCGUUCAGGAGGGCCUCGGACAGCCUCGAGGGGGCCGUGGGGCGACUAAGCCCUAAAACCCGGCGCAGACACUUUGAAGAGUCACCCUGGGCUACGUUCCAGGCAGGGGGUAAGGGGCAGGGCUCAGGAAUAUUUCCAAGUUGCCAAACUGCCCGUUCUCUCUGCUGCUUUUUUCCCUCACCUGUUGUGCAGGCCAAGUUGAAAUUCCAGGUUAGAUUAAUUCAGCCCCACCCAUCUGGCCUGACUGCCAGGCUGGUGCCUGCAACUGCCUUCCACCUACCUCGGUUGCAGGGGAGCAGGGUGGGUCUCUGACAUACACGCGCACACACACACUCGGGCGAGUCCUGGCAGAAACAGCCACAGGACGGACUGGCCUGACCAGUUUGGGCGGUGCUCACGGAGCCAGGUACCUGGCAGGCGUCGCCGCCCGGCUGCAGCUAACAGCUUAGCCAGAACUGGAAAAAGAGCAUUCGGCCGGCUAUUUAGAAAGAAAGAAAAAAAAGUAACUGAUCUGAAGUAGCGCUGUCCAGAAAGCCCUAGGCGGUAAAGCAGCCCGGGUUCUAUCUGGAACUUCCCUCUGAUUUUGACAGCCUGCUCCAGGGUCCAGGUUGUCAGCGAGGGAGUGGGUGGGGGUGAACAUGGCUGCAAUAUCCACUUCCUACCAUGGCCUUUGGGAGGACUGAAGAGUUUCUGUUCAGGGUAGUAAGACUAGAACCGAGACGAAAAACCAAGAGAGUGCAAUUUUCAAACAGGGGAACAGGUUGCAGACUCGUAAUUGUUUUUAAUGUAAUAUAUUUUUAAUAAGCAACUUUAUUAAUAAAAAAUGUGUAUAAAGAAGACGUGGAGACUACAGAUACUAGAGGGGAAAAAUCACCAAAUUACAACCAUAUUUAACCAUUUGCUAUAUUUCCUUGUAGCCUUUCCUAUUUGUGGAUUUACUCACACUGAUUAUACAAUUUGCCAUCCUCUUUUAACUUAACAUUGUACCAUAGGCAUUUCCCUGUUUGGUAUACAGUUUUCAGAAAGUGUGACAGUGAGGUGAAGAAGAUGGCUCAGGAGCCAGAGAACUCUGGCUUCCAAACCUGAAUCUGCCACUUGGUAACAGUGUGACCUUGGACUAGGUACUCCAUCUUCAAGGGAAUCCAAGUAAAAGACUUAAUAUAGGGCUCAAUGAAUGACAACAACUAAUAUUGUUUAAUCCAUAUGACAACCUUGUGAGGUAGGUACUAUCAUCAAACCCAUUUUAUGGAUAAGAAAACAGAUUAAAUAACUUGCCCAGGAUCACUCAGCUAGUAAGUUGUGGACUUUCAGAGGAGCCCAGCAGCCAUCCUCUUGUAUUCUGUCUGGGUAAAUGGCACCAGCAAGUUACUGUGUCAUUUACUCUUUGCCAGCAAUCUAUGAGAGGGUCAUUUCAUAAAGCCCUCUCGUUUAGGUAACUGGGUGAAUGCUGGUGCCAUUCACUGUGACAAAAUGCAGAAGGAAGGAUGCCUGGGGAUGGAGACAUUCGUGUGAAAUUACUACAAACUCCUGGAAGGGUAGCACGCUGUCUUUCACCUCAUAACCCUAGACCUAGCAACCAACCACUGUGUUGAAUGAAGAGACGAGGUGAGUAGACCCUAAUGAAUGACAGACCCCAGUAACACUGAAGACCCAUAGGCUUCUUUCCUGCUUUCUUUACGACUUGCACAAACUGGUCAGGGGCGCCCAAGAUAAAACAGCCUAAACUCCUCAGGUCCUGCCUUCUGGUUCUCCAGCCUCCUGGGCUGCUGCGGCUAUUCCCAUUCACAUUGCGCUCAGGGCAGGAGAGCAGCGGGGGUGGGCGUAGGGAUAGGGCGAGCCCUUCCUGGGGCUGCAUUAGCCUAGACGCAGUGGUUCCGCCAAGAGAGCCCCGGCACCAGCAGCAUCACCAUCUCCUGGGAACUGGCUAGAAAUGCAAGCUCUCGGCCCCAUCCUAACCCCACUGAAUCAGAAACCCUGGGGGCGGGCCCAGCAAUCUGUUUUAAUUAGUCCGUCAGGUGAAGUCAAGUUAGAGCAGCACUGGACUACAGCAAGCGGGGGAGAAGGAAGUUCAGCACCCAGGUGGAGACUGCGAUUAGGCCCCCAAGGCGCUUAGAGCAGACAGAGGGAGAGAGGCUCCUUUUAGGAGCGGGUUUGGCGGGCGCCACCCCAAGCGGCCAAGGGCGGAGCCUCUUUUAGGCGACUGCUCCCGCGAGGUCAGAGCCGGGCUGUGCCGCUGCCCCCGGGACUAGAAAGGGAAAUCUCCUUGCUAGAGGAGGAAGCCCUAAGAACUCAAGGGAGAUAGGGGUGGCAGGGGCAUUUCCCUGGAUGCCUGGAGCAUGGAGGGUGCGAAAUAAGGAGGCUUUCCUACCCCAUUGAUGAGCUGAAGUUGAUUCCGCACGGGGGAGGAAAGGGACAGGAAGCAUAAUUGGAUGUGCAAGCCUGUGGUUCUUCAGGAAGUUAACACGUGGAACUAACACUGUUGGAUGCUGCUGAACUCUCAGGUGAUUGAUGUGACUAACCUCCUCAGAAAAAUCAUCAUUGACAUCCAACACCAGCACUGGAAUGUUCAUCAGAGCCUCAAAGUGGAGCCUAUAAGAAGCGUGAACGUUUGGGGGACAGAAAAAAAGAAAUGUAACUUGAGUCAAGUUUCACAUACUCGCCAAGUCUUACUCAGAGAACAGAUCUAAAUUCAACAUGACUUUUCAAAGAAACUGCAUGUAAACUGCAUUUAAAAAAACAAAUUCAAUAAAGUUGGCCGGAAACAGAAAGGUUGAGGUUUCUCUUCAUUCUUGAGAGUGAUACUAACAAACAGUCAGAGCACCAAACAUUUUAAGUGGACAACAAACCAAGCCUAAAGGGAGGACAGGCAGAAACCAGGAAUGCCAACUUAGUAAUACUGACAAUUUCUCUAACAUUUUCAGCCCUUCAUGCUGAGCCAACUAUCACCAUCAAUCACAAUGUUCAGUCUAGGGAAAUGUUAAGAAACAAAGAAAAAGCUGGAGAAAUACAAUCUAAUAAAAAGGCCCUUGGAAUGUAAAGAUUAUAUUCAAUAUUAAACUUCUUCUGGGCAUCUCACUCUGUCGCCCAGGCUGGAGUACAGUGGUGCGAUCUCGGCUCACCGCAAUCUUUGCCUCCCAGGUUCAAGCGAUUCUCCUGCCUCAGCCUCCCGAGUAGCUGGUAUUACAGGCGCCUGACACCACACCUGGCUAAUUUUUCUAUUUUUAGUAGAGACAGGGUUUCACCAUGUUGGCCAGGCUGGUCUUGAAUCCUGACCUCAGGUGACUGCCUCAGCCUCCCAAAGUGCUGGGAUUACAGGCGUGAGCCACGGUGUCCAGCAAUAUUAAACUUCUGAGUUGGAAAAUGCUUGACAUUUCCAACCAUUUCCAGUAUAUUCUGAACCUUCCUACAGGGGGCUGCAUGCUGAACUUGUUUUUAACAACUGGCUGUUGGGAGCCAGGUCUCUGUCUCUGAUACAUUCUUUUCUCCCCACUUACUUCGUUGUCUUGUGAAUAAGCCAGGCUUCGUGUUGGCCAUGCAGCUGCUCUAGAUAGGCCAGCUCAAUUCCUUUCUCCUCCUCCCUGGCCCUCUGGUACAGUCUCUUCAAACAAACCUAAAAGACAGUCCCCAAGCCCUGAUGAGCUCUUUGCUGUUUUGGCUGCUACAAUGCAGUCUUCGGGGGCUCUGAGGCCCACCCAUAAUGUCUAUCUUGGGCAUUACAAGCCAUGCCUUUGCUUCUGCUGUCUUGUUUUCUUAUGCAAUCAGAGGAUCUACACCAUUCUUUUCCCAUCUCCACCUUAAACCUGCUCUUCCUCUGAAGUAUCCUAAGUCGGUUAAUGAUGAACAUCAUCCAUCCAGUCAUCCAAGCCACGGACCUGGAAUUUUCCUUGUUUUUCCUUCUCCCUACUAUAUCUGGGAAGUCACUCAAUUCUCUUUCAUCUCUCUAGAAUGUUCUCUCCUUGCCUCUCCUCUCACCUCUGCCCUGGUCGGGUCCUCUUUACUUCUUACCUGGAUUAUGGCAAGAGCCUUCUGGUUCUGCCUCCUGGAGGCAGGGAAGCAUAUGGACAGAGUACAGGCCUUAAGGUCAGAAAGUCCAGGAGUAAAUUCCUGCCUUCAUAAGGUACUAGCAGUGCAGUCCUUGUGGGCUUCUAUUUCCUCAUUGUCUACCCAUCCACAGGUCACUGAGGUAAGUUGUAUUGAGCUCCUGGCAAAAGCUGUUCCCUCCUUCCAGUUUUUCCCCUUCACUCCACCCGUCUGUAGUACGGCAAUAUAAUGACAUGACUUUCCUUGCUGAAAAUACUUCACAGGCUCUUUACCGCCUACAGCCAUAGCCCCAGGGUUCAAAGCAGUAUGUAUGAAUAGCAUUGCAUUUAUAAAAUGUUAGGUAAUUUGAAAUAUCUCUUUCAUGUCAUACCAAACAUUCACUCAGGAAUAGAAUGUAAAAUUUGCACAGGUCAAAGAUAAAACAAAGAAGUGGAAAAACAAGUGAGGCUUGAGACUAACUCUCCUCCCCCGCUGCUUUGCAGAGUGUACAUAAUUCUAUUCUGCAUUCAUCUGGUAGUGAAGUUUGAUGCACACUGGCUCAGAAAAUGACAUCUUCUUUACCUGUCACACAAAGCUACCCCUCCUACUUCUCAACUGCCUUAGCUCUUCCCCUGGACUCACUGCUUUAGCCAGAUUUGACCUCUUUCCUGGGGAACAGGCCAGGCUCUUUCACACCUCAAAAUUUUUGCUCCAAAUGUUUGUUUUGACUGAAUUAUCCUCAGUCCUCUCUCUGCUUGACAAACAUUUCAUUAUUCAAUAUCAUCUGUCCUGGAAGAACAGAUGGAUUAACCCACUGAUUUAGGACUUCACUCUUUUUUUUUGAGACAGAGUCUUGCUCUGUUGCCAGGCUGGAGUGCAGUGGCGCGAUCUCAGCUCACUGCAACCUCUGCCUCCCAGGUUCAAGUGAUUCUCUUGCCUCAGCCUCUCAAGUAGCUGGGACUACAGGCGGGAGCCACCACGCCCAACUAAUUUUUUGUAUUUUUAGUAGAGAUGGGGUUUCACCAUGUCGGCCAGGAUGGUCUCGAUCUCUUGGCAUCGUGAUCUGCCCGCUUCGGCUUCUCAAAAUGCUGGGAUUACAGGCGUGAGCCACCGUGCCCGGCCAGGACUUCCCUCUUUCAAUAACUUACUUAAGAAAUGAAAACUUAAUUUCCAAAUGUAGUACACAAUAAUCCCAAAGACUUGGGAGUCUUUGCUGUUUCCCUCUUAUCUUACCUUUUCUCUAAGGAAAUGAAAUUAUAGAAACAAAUUUUAUUAAUGAUCAAAAGGUAUAUGCACUUGCAAUUAUAUACUGCCAGACUGCCUCCUUAGAGGUUAACCAAUUUAUAUUCCCACCAGAAAGGUAGCUUUAGGAUUUCUAAGCAUAGCAAAGCUAUCAUCUCAUUUUCCUUUCUGAGAAAAAAAAUGUUGUCUGUUUCGUGAAAAUAAAUUUUUUUAAAAUGUGACUUUAUGUUUCCAAGUACACACACAAAGGCAGAACAAUUCUUUUUAGGAAAGCUAUUUAUAAUUAUUCAUUCACUGCUUGCAGACAAACCUUGACACUAACAUUGAUCUAUUAAAAUAAGCUAACAUAUUUCUAUUUACUAUUAAUUUCCUUAACAGAGCAAAUGGAUUUCCCUGAGAAGUCUAAGUCUUAACUGGUGGCAGUAUUGAGUGGGGAAAAAAAAAGAGGUCGAAGUAAACUCCUACUAUGAGCAUUUGGCAUAACUCUUGCUUUACUGAUAUCGCUAUAACAAAUUCUAUUUAAAAAAAUCCCGUGCAAACAGUGCUUUAGUCUGACCCCUCUUCAUCUCAGUCCUCAUGAGGAAGACACACCUGAAUGUGAACAGGAAAGAUAGUGUAGCUACAAGUGGCGAGGGAGAGACCCUUUACUGGUCUUCUUAACCUGUCCCACCCAGGAAGAAGAACUGCUGCUCUGCUUGCUUGGAGUCAGAAACAGAAAAUGGAAAGUGACUGCUAGUGGGUCUUUUCACUAUGCCUCUCAAGCCCAAACCCAGGUGCCAUUUGUCCCAUGCACCUCCUGCAUGCUGUCCCCAUGCUGUGCCAGUCCCAGGUAGGGCCUGGCUUUUUGAUGUACAUUGAUCAGCUGCACUCUCUUGAUUCCAUGGGGCUGGCUAGGAACACUGAGGCCUAGCUAUUUCUCUUUUGAGUUUUAAAAUUGUUAGCUUGCUUGUGUUUUAAAAAAAAUUUUUAGAGAUGGGGUCUCCCUAUGUUGACCAUGCUCGUCUUGAGCUCCUGGCCUCAAGCAAUCCUCCCAUCUCAGCCUCCCAAAGUGCUGGGAUUACAGGCGUGAGUCACCGUGCCCGGCCUGAGUUGCCUUUUCUAAAAAAAAAAAUUUAUUUAUUCAUUUAUUUGAGACAGGGUCUUGCUUUGUGGCCUAGGCUGAAAUGCAGUGGUGUAAUCCUGACUCACUGCAGCCUCAAUCUCCCAGGCUCAAGUGAUAUCCCACCUCAGCCUGCUGAGUAGCUGGGAAUACAGACACACCACCAUGCUUGGCUAAUUUUUAAAUUUUUUGUAGAGGGCAGGGGGCUCUCACUAUGUUGCCCAGGUGGGUCUUAAACUCCUGGGCUCAAGCAGUCCUCCCACCUUGGUCUCCCAAAGUGCUGGCAUUGCAGGCAUGAGCCACUGCACCCGCCUGGUCCAGUCUGGCCCGGCUUGCUGGCUUUUAAGAAGUUAGGGGGCCAGACGCGGUGGCUCAUGCCUGUAAUCCCAGCACUUUGGGAGGCCGAGGCGGGCGGAUCACGUCAGGAGAUCGAGACCAUCCUGGCUAACAUGGUGAAACCCCGUCUCUACUAAAAAUACAAAAAAAAAUUAGCCGGGUGUGGUGGCGGGUGCCUGUAGUCCCAGCUACUCGGGAGGCUGAGGCAGGAGAAUGCUGUGAACCCGGGAGGCGGAGCUUGCAGUGAGCAGAGAUCGUGCCACUCCAGCCUGGGCAACAGAGCAAAACUCUGUCUCAAAAAAAAAAAAAAAAAAAAAAGAAGUUAGGGAAGAAUAGGUAGAAAGGAGCAGAAGGACCUACGAAGUCCAUCUGACAUGCUCGAAACUCAGUAUUUACGAGGGCUCUGAACUGGAAGAUUGGGCACUUGCACAGCUUUUUACAUAGUGACAGGACAACUUCUAUUCUGCUCUUCCCUUGGGCACAGUUACCUCUGAAUUUCACAGAAGAGGUCAAGUGUGACUUCAGGGAAGAAACAUGGGCAUUCCUGCAUCUCUGGAACUAAUGCCAUCAAAACAGCAUUAAAAUCCCCAUCUAAUCUCAAAAUGAAUAAGCUAUUUUUCUUUUCUGCCAUUAAGUUGUAAUAAUCCUUCAACUCUUCUCAUUCUACUCCAGCUGAAAUAUUUCAAUUAGCCUCUCCAAAAGGGCAGAUCUGCCCCCAAGUGACGACGACGACGACGACGACGACGAUGAUGAUGAUGAUCAUCAUCAUCAUCAUCACCAUUUGCUAUGGUUUGAGUGUAUCCCCCCAGAAUUCAUGUGUUGGAAAUUUGGUCCUUAGUGUGGUAGUGCUGAGAGGUGGGGCCUUUAAGAGGUGAUUAGGUUGUUAAGACAGAUUAAUGCCACUCUCUUGGGACUGGGUUAAUUCUCGCCGGAAUGAGUUCUCACUCUCGUGGGAUUGGACCAGUUGCCAUGAGAGUGGGAUGUUAUAAAGCAAGGCUGCUCCUCCUAUCUUGCCCCUUUUGCACAUGCCUGCUCCCUUCCACCUCAUCAUAUGAUGAGGCAGCAGGAGGUCCUCAAUGGAAGUUAAGGCUGCCCAAUUUGGACUUCCCAGUCUCCAUAACUGUGAGCCAAAAUAAGCCUCUUUAUAAAUUAACCAGUUUCAGGCAUUCUGUUAUAAGGUCAUUCAGAGUGCACAAAGAAGAAAAGCAAUUAAGACUUUCUUGUUCUCCUUGCUGGGUCCAACUUCCACUCCCCAGAAACAAGAGCCUCUUCAGCUGGCCCAAGUAGCCCCAUUUUACUCCCAGGAAUGAGUCAGCCCACUUCCUCUCUCACUCCUCCCCAAUGCUGGCUUCAUGGCACUGAGCUGAAUGUGCUGUUCUCUUGGAAAAGGUUAAGUCAGCAUUCUCACUUCUCCUAAUGCUCAGCUCGUCCUGAGAACCUCCUGCUUCUUUCAGUCCAGCCAUCCCAAGACUCCCAUAGGAAACCUGUCACUUCUUCAAAUUCCAACCAGGAUCUUUACUCAAUCCAACCUCACAGCACUCUCACUCCUCUUUGGCCCAGGCCACAAGCCUUCCUGGGGCUCAGGACUUCUCUCCCAACUUGAACCCUACACUUUGACACUUCAAACUGUCCUCUUUGAGAGGGGACUCCUCUCCCCACAAUCGCUGACACUAAUCUCUACCCCUAAAGUAUAAUCCCCUUCUUCUAUUCUGGCUCUCAGGCAAUGAAGACUAUUGAAAGAAGUCACAUAAACAUGACCCACCUUGUCAACUUGCAAUCAAUGCAUCUAACUUUAGUGUGGUUCUUUCCAUGGAAGAUUAUUAGCCCUCUGGCCUCACUGAAUCUUUAGUUCAGUUUUAUUUUAUUUUAGAAACAAGUUCUCACGCUGUCACCUGGGCUGGAGUAUAGUGGCACGAUCACAGCUCACUGUAGCCUCGAGCUCCUGGACUUAGGUGAUCCUCCUGUCUCACCUCCCCAAUAGCUAAAACCACAGGCACACAUAACCACACUCAGCUAAUUUUUAAACUUUUUUGUAGAAAUGGAGUCGCACUAUAUCGCCUAUGCUGGUCUUGAACUCCUGGCCUCAAGUGAUCCUCCCACGCCAGCCUCCCAAAGUGCUGGGAUUGUAGGCAUGAGCCACUGCACCAGCCCAGUUUCAUUUUAAACUUUAACCCUUAUUUAUUUCUGUAGAAUCUCUUAUUCCCUCGUACGAUCUAGCUUUUGCCUCAAAAUGUCCAGAAACUCUCAACACAAAGAUCCCCAAUAUCUGGCCCCAGUCACAUUCAAGGGCCUUUUUUCCUGGUUGCCACCUUCUUAAGGCAAGACCCUUCCUUCCAGUCCUCUCCUCGUUGGCUGGUGUGAGGCUCUGUGAUGGGAGCUCUCCCACUCAUCCUCUGGUUCUGCUCAGUCUGUUCUCGGCUCCUUUCUGCCCACAAGUCUCAGUUCCAUCUCUAAAAAGCAUAGCCUCUAGCUUGGAGACAGCUUUCCUUCCUUCUAACAGUAUGUGGUAUAUCUGGCAUUUGACUAUAUAUUGGAUGUAUAUCUCAAAAGCUGAGAGCAGUACAUCUCUAAAAAAAAAAAACUCACCUUGACUCAGAAUCCCACUCCAGAAGAGCCCUUAGAGAUCGUCUAGAUUGAACCAGUGGAUUUUACAGGCAAGGAUCUCUCCAGUGGAAAGGUCUCCAGGGGCUGCCCAAGGUCACUACCAGUCAGCAGAAGCCACAGCUCACUUCUAUCUCCAGAGACUCUGGUGCUCCUGCCGUGACAUCAUCCUACUUCAUGUAGGAUGGCACCAGCCAGAGAGUCACAGAAUGGAACUGCUAUAGUCCAUCCUGCCUUCCCAAUGGCAUCACAGUUCAAAAAAGGGCUAUAAAUUAGGGCAGUAUCAUGAUGAGGUGAGAAAAUUCUCCUCUUCCUCCUCACAUCUUACUAAGGAAACCACUGAGACUACACACUCUGAUGACCCAGUCAGAGUAAAGGAGGAGCUGAGGCAAGUGGCUACAGGUCAGAGCGUCCCACCUGCAAACCCUAAGCGUCAUCAUAAAGAUGACACUCGAUUUGCUCUGUUGUUCCUACAUCAACAGCAAUCCUUUUAUGCAUAGUCAAUGGCUUUAGCACUCUGCUACACGAAGCCAGUGGGGAACAGGGUGCUCAACGCUGGGACAGGAGGGUGUCCCCCACUGCUCUCUGUGCUGCAGGUAAUGUCUACGCUCUAAUCUCUCCAACCAGAAAAUCAGGGGCUUGGAGAAUGUCACUUCUUAGGUUUCAUAUGGCCCUAAAGUCUAAGGUUGUAGGUUCAGUGUUACCUGGGGAGAAGCCUGGAGGUAGAUGAAGCCAUGUAAUGUGAUCCGGCUGGCAAACUCCCACAGGAGAAAAGAAUGCCAGUCCUGAUAGAUAUGCCACUCGAUGUCACUGAGGGAACCAUUUUCAAAAAGAUUCUUUGCAAAGAUAUACCUGGUUGGAAGUGGGAUGGGAAUGGGGAGGGCAGGAGAAUGGGAAAUGGAAUGAAAGGCACGAGAGAGAGAGAGAAGCAGAAAAAUCAAUAACCAACUUGUUCCAUGUCUGUUCAAACCACUUAACCUUUCUAGCUCCUCAUCAAUCCUUAAGAAAUCUGAAUUCUUAACCCAUAUCUCCCUCCCUGCUCAGUACUAAGAUGGGAAAUAGGAUCUAGACUUUGGAGGCUGAAAUCACACCUUUCCAGAUGGAUUGAUUCACUGGAAGAAAAGAGACAGAAGAUAGUAUCAUUGGUCCCUAACAAUUUUCUCUGCUAGAAACCAGUCAGAACAUACAGCAAAUAUAUGUAAACUUGAACUUUUGAGAUUUCCUUAUUAUUAUUAUAGCAAGGCCCAAAACAAAUAAACAAGUGAAUCCAGUAUAAAUCCACCCACUAAAUUUCAUACAAGGACUGAGGGCUUCUAAGUCUCCAGGCUACUGAGCCAUCCUUUUGUUUAGCUGAGACAUGCAGAAGAAAUAGUAUUUAUGUGGUGUCCUCUAUGGAGCAGAAAAUGCAUUUCCUACUAAUUUCAGUAUUACUAAGAAAGCAGACUCUCCUGCAAAAUGCAUUAUGAGCUCCUGCUUGCUUGCUUCCUCUGCUGCUGAGUUUCUAGUUCAGAUAAAAGAAAGCUAAAGCUAAAAAUCAAACCAGCUUUGCCCCCUGCUUAUUUCUACAACCAAAAGAGCAUCUGGUAAACAGGAAAUCAGAGCUAAACAUAAACCAUGGCUUCAGACAAACCAGGGGUCAAUCCUGCUUUCAAACCUCAGGCAUUUUAAUAAAAAACACAAUUUGCAUCCUAAGCAAGGGACUCCAGUUUCCAAGGCAAUGCUCAGCAACUGGCCACUUUGGAGAAAAUAAAAUUCAGAACCCUUGUGUAUGAUGGCUCAGGAAAGUACAGACUGCAAGGCUGUGAGUGUCACCACUGAGAGAAUACCUUCCAGAAUAACAUUUCAGGGUCUGAUACUGGCUGAAACAUUCACUAGCUAUGUAACUUCAGGCAAGUCACCUAAAUCCUCUCAGCCUGUUAUGAUGAUGUCUUGUAAUAAUCCUCACAAAGUGCUUAGAAGAGUGACUGGCACAUAGUCUUCUAGAUAUCUUAGUUAUUAUUAUAACUGCUUUUUGUUAGGCUAUGAAGAAGCUAACUUAGAAACUCCACAAGUAAACUUUCCCAGUCUGGAAUGGUUUAGCCAUAGUCUAGUUGAUGAGAACAAAUAAAAGGGUAACAUUUUAAACUCAAAAUGUUUUUGAGUUCUUUACAGAUAACUAGAAGAUGAAAUUAAGAUCCUAUAAAGUGGCCACGCACUGUGGCUCACACCUGUAAUCCCAGCACUUUUGGAGGCUGAGGCGGACGGAUCACCUGAGGCCAGGAGUUUGAGACCAGCCUGGCCAACAUGGUGAAACCCCGUUUCUACUAAAAACACAAAAAUUAGCCAGGCAUGAUGGCGUGUCCCUGUAAUCCCAGCUACUCAGGAGACUGAGGCACAAGAAUUGCUUGAACCCAGGAGGCGGAGGUUGCAGUGAGCCAAGAUUACACCACUGCACUCCAGCCUGGGCGACAGAGCGAGACUCUGUCUUAAAACAAAAAAGGAUCUUAUAAAGAGAAAUUAAAGAUUUGCUAAUAAGCCCUAUGAAAGGGGUUCUUGGCUUUCUUGAGAAAGAGCACUUCCUUUAUUUCUUCAAAGCUUGUGGUGGUGAUGGGGUGAGGGGCAGAAGGGUGUGGUGCUGAGUGGGAGGGAAGUACUGCAGACUGAAUGCAGGGGCUGCAGGACAGAACAGGGCAUAAGGAUCUAGGAGUCAGGGCCUCUGCUCUAAAACCAUAUGCUAAUGUUUCCUUUAACUCAAACAGAAAAGACUAAGAUUUCUUCCUCGCUAUAAUCAACUCUCCCAGAUAACCUGUGUUCCUCCUUUGGAACAAAUAUCACACACGUGAGCAUGUGUUCAGUCCCUGUUAGGCAGGGACUGGGUCUGCCUUAUUCACUGCUGCAGCCCCAGGGCCAGCCUUGGUGCUUCAACACAGGAGGCAUCCAAUAAAUCUGUGCAAGUGAACAAAGUCUAAAUUACCCUCGGGAUUAGAACUUGUGAUUAGUUUUCCUUUCUGUCUCGAAAAUGCCCUCACUGAAGAUAGCACCUGGAAUGUUGUAUGCCCACAGUGUAAUCAAUUAUUACCUCUUCCUUUACAAGCAAAGGUUAAGAUCCAUGCAGCUUCUUAAUGCAUUUCUAAUUAACAAAGUGUUUCUACUUCUCUAUUUUCCUCUGAGGGUCUCACACACCUACUUCAUGAAGCGGCUAGAAAUAAAGACUGACUAUGUUUCCAAACAACCCAUGUGGUUAUAUGUAAUUCAACUUCGGAGUCCGAGAGGCAUGGCUUGGGAGAGAAGAGAGGAAAACAGGCAGGUGGGAUAUCCAACAGCUGAAAAAGAAGUAAAACCUAUAGCCCAGCCAUUUGUAAUUCACAUAUUUAGCUUUUAUAAAAAGUAGGCUCUCUCGGGGUACGUACACAAGGAACGGAUAGCCUAUAGGGUUUGUUUUACAUAUCUUCCAUGAUUUUAGGGUAAAGUCAGAAAAAUCACUUGUCAUUUACAAAUGUAUCCUUAUUUUUUUUCUUCUAGGAGGCUUUCCGGAAGCACUAAGAAAUAGAACUAGUUUGUCUAAUUUGGAAUUAAAAGAGUAACCAACUGAGUGUCUUCAGCAGUGACAAUGAAAAUGUACCACUUCCCAUUUUGAUAAUUCAAAGAGCCUUAAGAAAGAUCGUUUUGCUUGAAAGCACUAUUUCACACUGACACUGGUCAUUCAUAGGCUUCAGAUAAGAAAAACUCCAGCAGUGUCCAGAUCAAGCCAUCCUGACUUUGUCUCUAGGCGGCUUAACCUCAAGUCACAGCCUGGUCUCUGCAGCAGAGCCAGGCAUUCCGGAGCCUGCACGGCCUAGCUCUUCUGGAGCAGAUGGGCUCACUUCCCAGGGUGCUGCUAGCUUGCAUUCAAAGUGACUUCACAUCUCACUCCCUCAGGUGGUCAGGAUGAUGCCCAUCCCUGAUCUGACACAGGCACUGAUGUCCACUAGACUCUGGCCAGCAAAAAGCCCUCUCACAGAAGAAGGGGUCAAAAAGGGCUAAAUCUGAGACAGAAGCCAGUUUCUCAGAUGUGCUAUUUCUGCCUAAGCAUCCUUUCUUGAACAAUAAAAAAAAAAGGCUGAAAAUAUCUCUUAUAUCAUUUUCAGGAACACAAAUUUUAAUUUCGUCUGCUUUUUUCUUAAAGGGGAUAAUCAACCACUGAAUCAUCUGAUUUCUUAGAAUAUACACUGCUACUUAAGUGUCUAUUAUGUGCCUUUUAGCAUGUGAUGGUUACAUUAGGUGGCUACCAGCUUGCUCCAUGCCAGAAAAUAAGGAAACAUAAGGUAAUCAGUAGCAAUGUAAGAAAUUCAAAGCAUUCAGUUGAUGAAAAACCCAAUUUCCUUUCUUGACAUAGAUGACAAUCUGGUAGAAGUACAACUCUG
RNAcentral lists this long non-coding RNA (14648 nucleotides) under Homo sapiens (human). RNAcentral's name for it is "non-protein coding DGUOK-AS1:11". Lineage: Eukaryota; Metazoa; Chordata; Mammalia; Primates; Hominidae. The record is from RNAcentral.